UGAGGAACAUGACCUUCGGCGGGGGACAGCCGGCCCAACGGCCGGGUAAUACCGCGUACGACCACAUGGGGACAUCCCUGAGUGGUGAAAGCAGCAAUGCGCCGAUGGAGUGCCUCGCGGCCUAUCAGCUAGUUGGUGAGGUAACGGCUCACCAAGGCAACGACGGGUAGCUGGUCUGAGAGGAUGGCCAGCCACAGUUGGGACUGAGACACGGCCCAGACCUCUACGGGAG
RNAcentral lists this ribosomal RNA (232 nucleotides) under uncultured bacterium. Its description in RNAcentral is "partial 16S ribosomal RNA". It matches the Rfam family "Bacterial small subunit ribosomal RNA", at positions 118 to 347 of the family's 1533-position model. The record is from RNAcentral.